GACGAACGCUGGCGGCGUGCUUAACACAUGCAAGUCGAACGAUGAACCCGGAGCUUGCUCCGGCGGAUUAGUGGCGAACGGGUGAGUAACACGUGAGUAACCUGCCCUUGACUCUGGGAUAACUGCUAGAAAUGGUAGCUAAUACCGGAUACGACCCUCGGUGGCAUCACCAGGGGGUGGAAAGAAUUUCGGUCAAGGAUGGACUCGCGGCCUAUCAGCUAGUUGGUGAGGUAACGGCUCACCAAGGCGACGACGGGUAGCCGGCCUGAGAGGGUGACCGGCCACACUGGGACGGAGACACGGCCCAGAAGCCUACGGGAGGCAGCAGUGGGGAAUAUUGCACAAUGCGCGCAAGCCUGAUGCAGCAACGCCGCGUGAGGGAUGACGGCCUUCGGGUUGUAACCCUCUUUUAGUAGGGAAGAAGCGAAAGUGACGGUACCUGCAGAAAAAGCACCGGCUAACUACGUGCCAGCAGCCGCGGUAA
Molecule: ribosomal RNA, 484 nt
Filed under: uncultured bacterium
Lineage: Bacteria
Description: partial 16S ribosomal RNA
Rfam family: Bacterial small subunit ribosomal RNA
Source: RNAcentral